AGAGUUUGAUCCUGGCUCAGAAUCAACGCUGGCGGCGUGCUAACACAUGCAAGUCGAACGAGAAAGGGUAGCAAUACCUGAGUAAAGUGGCGCACGGGUGAGUAACACGUGACUAACCUACCCUGGAGUGGGGGAUAACUGAGGGAAACCUUAGCUAAUACCGCAUAAUACCCACGGGUCAAAGGAGCAAUUCGCUUCAGGAGGGGGUCGCGGCCGAUUAGUUAGUUGGCGGGGUAAUGGCCCACCAAGACGAUGAUCGGUAUCCGGCCUGAGAGGGCGCACGGACACACUGGAACUGAAACACGGUCCAGACUCCUACGGGAGGCAGCAGUGGGGAAUUUUGCGCAAUGGGGGAAACCCUGACGCAGCAACGCCGCGUGGAGGAUGAAGUCCUUCGGGACGUAAACUCCUUUCGAUCGGGACGAUUAUGACGGUACCGGAAGAAGAAGCCCCGGCUAACUUCGUGCCAGCAGCCGCGGUAAUACGAGGGGGGCGAGCGUUGUUCGGAAUUAUUGGGCGUAAAGGGUGCGUAGGCGGUUUGGUAAGUCUUGUGUGAAAUCUACAGGCUCAACUUGUAGUCUGCACGAGAAACUGCCGGGCUUGAGUAUGGGAGAGGUGAGUGGAAUUCCUGGUGUAGCGGUGAAAUGCGUAGAUAUCAGGAGGAACACCUGUGGCGAAAGCGGCUCACUGGACCAUAACUGACGCUGAUGCACGAAAGCUAGGGGAGCAAACAGGAUUAGAUACCCUAGUAGUCC
RNAcentral lists this ribosomal RNA (755 nucleotides) under uncultured bacterium. RNAcentral's name for it is "bacterial SSU rRNA". It matches the Rfam family "Bacterial small subunit ribosomal RNA", at positions 8 to 796 of the family's 1533-position model. The record is from RNAcentral.